AUUGAACGCUGGCGGCAGGCUUAACACAUGCAAGUCGAGCGAGCGGCGGACGGGUGAGUAAUGUCUGGGAAACUGCCUGCUGGAGGGGGAUAACUACUGGAAACGGUCGCUAAUACCGCAUACCAUCAGAUGUGCCCAGAGGGGAUUAGCUAGUAGGUGGGGUAAUGGAUCACCUAGGCGACGAUCCCUAGCUGGUCUGAGAGGAUGACCAGCGACACGGGAACGGAGACACGGUCCAGACGCCUACGGUAGGCAGCAGUGGGGAAUAUUGCAAGAUGGGCGCAAGCCUGAUGCAGCCAUGCCGAGUGUGUGAAGAGGGCCUUCGGGUUGUAAAGCACUUUCAGCGAGGAGGCGUUACUCGCAGAAGAAGCACCGGCUAACUCCGUGCCAGCAGCCGCGGUAAUUC
Molecule: ribosomal RNA, 406 nt
Filed under: uncultured bacterium
Lineage: Bacteria
Description: partial 16S ribosomal RNA
Rfam family: Bacterial small subunit ribosomal RNA
Source: RNAcentral